Myotis brandtii (Brandt's bat) is the source of this 73-nucleotide non-coding RNA. NCBI's taxonomy places the organism in Eukaryota, Metazoa, Chordata, Mammalia, Chiroptera, Vespertilionidae. The record is from Rfam.
GGCAGUUCUCAAGUGACACACCCCAGAAUCGGGCUCCCUCCUCUGGUUCCAGGUUCGUCACUCAAGUACCACA